UUGUCAUGUUAUGUGUGUAAUUGAAUCUGCUAGUUCGUACAAAUAAAAAAACCACAUGAGAGUUGCCACUGGAAAACUCUCUCGGCCCCCACCCUUCCUUAGGAAGGAAUUCCCACUCUGCUCUGUUUUUGUGUUUCAAGCUUCUCUUGCAGCUCAUUUAUCAACUGGCGUGUUUUCUGGCUUUGCCGAAGAUGAUGACUGUGAUGGCUCAAAGACAUCUCCUUCACUGCUUUCUGCUAAUUCUGAGAGCUAUCUAAUAGUGCAUUUUAAAGAUGCUGGUCCAAGGAAAAUAUUUCAUACGCAAAAGGAAGAGGAGCACAAAUGAUGGAGUGGAAGGCCAUAGAAGUAAGAAGGCAGAACUCCUGAAAUGCCUGUAGGUACCCGUGACAGGCAGUCCCACGAGUGAGUCCUGUAGCAGGCAAAGAAGAGCAAAGCACAUCGGUCACUGAGGACAGUUCCAAGCCCAGGCAUGGGACAGGGCAUCAUCAAGUGUCAGUAAGUGCUGUUCUUAUCUAGGAAGUGCUACAUGCAAAGAUAGAUUGGCUGCCCAGCUGGCCAUUAUCCCAGCCUUGAUGCAGUCAAAAU
This 585-nucleotide long non-coding RNA is filed under the name Gallus gallus (chicken). Its description in RNAcentral is "long non-coding RNA NONGGAT009256". Lineage: Eukaryota; Metazoa; Chordata; Aves; Galliformes; Phasianidae. The record is from RNAcentral.